Molecule: ribosomal RNA, 254 nt
Filed under: uncultured bacterium
Lineage: Bacteria
Description: partial 16S ribosomal RNA
Rfam family: Bacterial small subunit ribosomal RNA
Source: RNAcentral
UACGUAGGGAGCAAGCGUUGUCCGGAUUUAUUGGGCGUAAAGAGCUCGUAGGCGGUUCGGUAAGUCGGGUGUGAAAACUCUGGGCUCAACCCGGAGAGGCCACUCGAUACUGCCGUGACUUGAGUCUGGUAGGGGAGCACGGAAUUCCUGGUGUAGCGGUGAAAUGCACAGAUAUCAGGAGGAACACCGGUGGCGAAGGCGGUGCUCUGGGCCAGUACUGACGCUGAGGAGCGAAAGCGUGGGGAGCGAGCAGG